This 113-nucleotide small nucleolar RNA is filed under the name Crocodylus porosus (Australian saltwater crocodile). RNAcentral's name for it is "Small nucleolar RNA SNORD89 (ENSCPRG00005012540.1)". It matches the Rfam family "Small nucleolar RNA SNORD89". Rfam says of the family: snoRNA HBII-289 belongs to the family of C/D snoRNAs. It is the human orthologue of the mouse MBII-289 and has no identified RNA target. The record is from Rfam by way of RNAcentral. Lineage: Eukaryota; Metazoa; Chordata; Crocodylia; Crocodylidae.
ACUGAGGAAUGAUGACAAUAAAAGGCCGAAUUGCAGUGUCUCCACAAGCAGUUGCUCUCUUUGGAAGCACAAUGACAAAGUCACCUGAAGCGAAUUAUUAGUCUGACCUCAGU